RNAcentral lists this ribosomal RNA (595 nucleotides) under Panthera onca (jaguar). RNAcentral describes it as "partial 16S ribosomal RNA". It matches the Rfam family "Bacterial large subunit ribosomal RNA", at positions 1797 to 2636 of the family's 2925-position model. Lineage: Eukaryota; Metazoa; Chordata; Mammalia; Carnivora; Felidae. The record is from RNAcentral.
UGCCUGUUUACCAAAAACAUCACCUCUAGCAUUUCCAGUAUUAGAGGCACUGCCUGCCCAGUGACAUCAGUUAAACGGCCGCGGUAUCCUGACCGUGCAAAGGUAGCAUAAUCAUUUGUUCCUUAAAUAGGGACUUGUAUGAAUGGCCACACGAGGGCUUUACUGUCUCUUACUUCCAAUCCGUGAAAUUGACCUUCCCGUGAAGAGGCGGGAAUAUGACAAUAAGACGAGAAGACCCUAUGGAGMUUUAAUUAACCGACCCAAAGAGAUCUUGAUAAUCAACCGACAGGGAUAACAUACCUCUACCAUGGGCCGACAAUUUAGGUUGGGGUGACCUCGGAGAAUAAAACAACCUCCGAGUGAUUUAAAUCUAGACUAACUAGUCGAAAGUACUACAUCACUUAUUGAUCCAAAAACUUGAUCAACGGAACAAGUUACCCUAGGGAUAACAGCGCAAUCCUAUUUUAGAGUCCAUAUCGACAAUAGGAUUGCGCUGUUAUCCCUAGGGUAACUUGUUCCGUUGAUCAAGUUUUUGGAUCAAUAAGUGAUGUAGUACUUUCGACUAGUUAGUCUAGAUUUAAAUCACUCGGAGGUU